AGUGAACGCUGGCGGCAGGCCUAACACAUGCAAGUCGAGCGGCAGCGGGUCCCCGCGAGGGGAUGCCGGCGAGCGGCGGACGGGUGAGGAACACAUCGGAAUCUGCCUGGUUGUGGGGGAUAACGUAGGGAAACUUACGCUAAUACCGCAUGCGACCCUGAGUCGACGGACUUGGGGUGAAAGUGAGGGACCUUCGGGCCUCACGCGACCAGAUGAGCCGAUGUCGGAUAGCUAGUUGGCGGGGUAACGGCCCGCCAAGGCGACGAUCCGUAGCUGGUCUGAGAGGAUGAUCAGCCACACUGGGACUGAGACACGGCCCAGACUCCUACGGGAGGCAGCAGUGGGAAUCUUGGACAAUGGGCGCAAGCCUGAUCCAGCCAUGCCGC
This 386-nucleotide ribosomal RNA is filed under the name uncultured bacterium. RNAcentral describes it as "bacterial SSU rRNA". It matches the Rfam family "Bacterial small subunit ribosomal RNA", at positions 30 to 400 of the family's 1533-position model. The record is from RNAcentral.